Molecule: RNA transcript, 4727 nt
Organism: Manis pentadactyla (Chinese pangolin)
Lineage: Eukaryota; Metazoa; Chordata; Mammalia; Pholidota; Manidae
Gene: OTC
Gene name: ornithine transcarbamylase
Exons: 12
Source: RefSeq, a predicted model, not a curated record
CCAGGGCAAUUUGAUAAGGUAGGUGAAGGGUGUUACUACCCUUUGCUCUCUCAUUGCAAUUGAAAGCAUUCCUGGAUUUUAGGUGGACUCCACUGGCUACCUUGGUGAGCAUAGAAUCAUCCUUUUUGUUAUCAAAAGAAGAUGCUAUUUAAUUUGAGGAACCUGUUGAACAACGUGAUUCUUAGAAAUGGUCACCAUCUCGUGGUUCGAAAUUUUCGCUGUGGACAACCACUACAAAACAAAGUACAGCUGAAAGGUCGUGACCUUCUCACUCUGAAGAACUUUACAGGAGAAGAAAUCAAGUAUAUGCUGUGGCUAUCAGCAGAUCUGAAAUUUAGGAUAAAACAGAAAGGAGAGUAUGUGCCCUUAUUACAAGGGAAGUCAUUGGGCAUGAUUUUUGAAAAAAGGAGUACUCGAACAAGAUUGUCCACAGAAACAGGCUUUGCACUUCUAGGAGGACACCCUUGUUUUCUUACCACACAAGAUAUUCAUUUGGGUGUGAAUGAACGUCUCACGGACACAGCCCGUGUGUUGUCUAGCAUGACAGAUGCAGUGUUGGCUCGAGUGUAUAAACAAUCAGAUCUGGACAUCCUGGCUAAAGAAGCAACCAUCCCAGUCAUCAAUGGGCUGUCAGAUUUGUACCAUCCUAUCCAGAUCCUGGCUGAUUAUCUCACACUCCAGGAACACUAUGGCUCUUUGAAGGGCCUUACUCUUAGCUGGAUUGGGGAUGGGAACAACAUCCUUCACUCCAUUAUGAUGAGUGCGGCAAAAUUCGGGAUGCACCUCCAGGCGGCUACUCCAAAGGGUUACGAGCCAGAUCCCAGUAUCACCAAGUUGGCAGAGCAGUAUGCCAAGGAGGAUGGUACCAGGCUGUUGCUGACGAAUGAUCCAUUGGAAGCAGCUCGCGGAGGCAAUGUAUUAAUUACAGACACUUGGAUAAGUAUGGGACAAGAAGAGGAGAAGAAAAAGCGGCUCCAGGAUUUCCAAGGUUACCAGGUUACAAUGAAGACUGCCAAAGUAGCUGCCUCUGACUGGACAUUUUUACACUGCUUGCCCAGAAAGCCAGAAGAAGUGGAUGAUGAAGUUUUUUAUUCUCCACGUUCACUAGUAUUCCCAGAGGCUGAAAACAGAAAGUGGACAAUCAUGGCUGUCAUGGUGUCUCUGCUGACAGAUUACUCACCUCAGCUCCAGAAGCCCAAAUUCUGAUGCUGUGAUGCUUAUCUUCAGUACCAGAAUGAGUCAGUUUAUGGGGGAAGGAGAAGAAAAUCUAAGAAAUAAGCAAACUCUGAUACAUGCUAUAGAGAGUAGAGGAACUAUUUAAGCAGAAGGUGCCAUGUGGAUUGUGGAGGCUCUCCCUCAAAUUGCCUACAUACAAAAGACAAUCCAAGUGUCCUGCCACUUUCUAAACAGUCCUCCAUGGCAAGACAACUCUGUGGUGAAAUUCAUGCUCCAGAGCUCCGCAUGGGAUCAGGCUGAAGCUGGUGUCAGAGACCACAUCUUUGGUUAGCUUCCCCUACUGCUUAACCUGCUUCCCCUUCUUCUGAGAGUGCUUCCUCAAUAAAUCAUUUGCACAAGAAUGUCCAUCUCAGGCUCUACCUUUAGGGACUCUGAUCUGGGAUGAUCCAUGAAUAAGAUGUUUCAGAGGUCUGUAUUGUACUGUUCAUCCUUCAGGCACCAACGGAGGAGUAGAGAAUUAAGGAGCCAUUAGACAAAUGCUGAAGAGCUCAUGCCUAAUAAGCAAAAAGUUUCCAGUUACCAGGGUCAGCCUUUCUUAAAAGGAAGUAGAACUUUAAAUGUAACAAAUAUUAUUUUCCAGUCACAAGUUCAUAUUCAUAACAAGGUCUCUAUCAGCUGCACAGAAUAGGAGACUAAUUUGCUUUCUCCAGAGAAGAGUAGAUAAGAGUUAGCUGGCACGAUAUUUCUGAUUUUAGUUCUGUGGUGUCUUAGUACCUUAAGACAGGCAAGCCUGGCAGCUGCUUAGUGAGCCUGCCCUUCGCAUUGUCUUCCUGGCUUCCUCCAAAGCUUCUUAUUCAGCUGGUCUAGGUUGGAACCUGAGAAUAUGCAUUUUAAACAAGUGUCAUGGGAUGCUGAUACUGCUGGUCCAAAGACCACACUUUGAGAAUCAUUAGUCUGAGGCAGUUCUAAAGACUUAUUUGAGGUGUGUUCGUCCCCACAUCCCUAAAGCAAAACCUUAAGGCAUUUGGCCAAUCCAGAUCCUCUUAAUUAGUCUGUCUUUGGACCCACUGAGGCCUGGGUUUCAUCCCUCUUCUGCUAUCUAACAGCUAUUGAACCCUGCUCUCCUUAUCUCUACAAUGGGAACAAUAACACCCAUCUCAUAAUGUUGUUGGGAGAAUUAAAUGAAAUAACAUAUAUAAGAUCAUUUGCUUAAAGCAAGUGCUCAGUAAAUAUUAACCCUUUUUUAUUUGAUCAAUUGUUUCCAAUGCUUUAUAUGUUUUUUCUUUGGAUCUUUGUAACAACAUUCUAUCCUGUCAUCAUAAAUAUAUUGAGUAAAAUACUUGGUGUCCAAGAAAAGUGCAAGGAAUGAGCUUGUCUUCUGAAGUUUGCCAAGAACCCAGCUGCUGGGUGCUUUAGGUGAGUCAUUUCUCUCCACCAGCUGGUUUGUGAAUGUGCCGCCCAGGUGAGCCAACUGGCACUUUGCCAAACCAAACCACGGAAGCCAGCAAGUCCAAAAAUCUAACCAAGGUGACUAAAUGCUUUGCUUAGGAAAGCAUGGUGGGAAUGACCAUUUAUAUGAAAUAAAUCAGAGGCAUCUGGCAAUUGAUGGACUUGGGGUCUCGCUGAUAAAAGGAGAAAGAGAUUAGGAAGAACUCAUCAGGUUUUAUUCAUCUCUGUCUGAGGCUACAACUGCUCAAACAAAGGUUUCAAACUGUUCUUAAGACAGCAACUUUCAAAUGUUUUGGUCUCAGGACCUCUUUAUAUUCUCAUAAACUAUGAAGAUACCAAAGAGCUUUUGUCUAUGUAGGAUAUAUGUAUCAGUAUAUAACAGUAAAAAUUGAAACAGAAAUUUGAGAAAUACUUAUUGAUUCAUUUAAAAAUAACAAUAGUAAACCCCUUACAGGUUAACAUGAAUAAUAUAUUUUUAUGAAAAAAACUAUAUUUUUUAAAACAAAUAAAGUUAAUGAAUAGAAGGGCUGACAUUGUUUUAUAUUUUUGCACAUUUCUUUGAGGUCUACUUUAAUAGAAGACAGCUGAAUUCUCAUAUCUGCUUCUGCAUUCCAUCGGUGGUACUAUGUUGGUUUGAAGCAUAGGAAGAAUAUCUGGCCUCACACAGAUAAGUAGUUGAAAAGGGAGAGCUGUUUUAAUAAAUUUCAAGUAAUCAUGGAUAUUAUUUGAUGUUACAUUGAAAAUCCGCAAGUGAUAGCUCCUUAAAGAUUAGUUGCGAUUUGGAAUCUAAACUCCAUCAAUGAACUUUACACACUUAUAUUAGACAUGCCUGUCUUACACUUUGGAUAGAUAUUUUACCCAUGUGUGAUUCCACAUUGGUCAUUUGGAAACUAUUAGCUCACGGAAUUAUGCAGAUCUUCCAAAUUAUGGAACAUUACAUAAAAAAUUUUAAAUUACAUUUCUUAAUAUCACCAUUGCUAUGCCUGAAUGUUUGUGUUCUCCCAAAAUUCAUACAAUGGACUGCUAACCCCCAAAGAUUAUGGUAUUAGUAGGAGGGCCUUUGGGAGGUGAUUAGGGCAUGAGGGUGGAUCCCUCAUGAAUGGGAUUAGUGCCCUUAUACCCCACAGAGCUCCAUAAUCUCUUCUGCCAUGCAGUGAGAAGGCACCAGCUAUGAAUCAGGUUGUGUUCCUCACCAGACACAACCACACUGGCAUCUUGAUACUGGACUUCCCAACCUCCAGGACUGUGAGAAGUAACUGUCUGCUGUCGAUAAGCCACCCAGUCUGUUGUAUUUUGUUAUGGCAGCACAGAUGGACUAAGGCAACUACCUAUCACUUUAGAAUAACAUUUAAGUAUUGCAAAACAGAUACAAAUUUUACACAAUUCUAAUUUUCUCUUGAAAGCUCAACUUUUAUCUUUGGCAACAAAUACUGUCAUCUACUUCCCUUGAAGUGACAGGUUCACCUCUUUCAUUUUUAAGAUGUCUGCAAAAACCUAAGUCCUAAUGCACAGUUUGCCAAUGUUAUUUUUUUUUCCUUUUGGUCAAUUAAAACUGGUGUACCAUGCAAGAGGCAGCUAGUUCAACAUACAGCUCAAAGAAUUGCAUAAGUGCUUUUCUUCAAGACAGUCAUCAUAUUUCAUUAUGCAACAGAAAGGCUUAAAUACCUACUUCUCAUGUUAUGACACAGAAUAUUAAAGAGAUGUGUAUUCAAGGGUUGAAAUUUAAUAUUAAUGACUUUUACUGCUUCAUCAAUGACAUUCACAAGUGAGUCUGGCUUUUAAAAAAAUUGCUUGUAUGCUACAGUGAAGAAUAAAAUGAAUUCUGGUUCUAUGCUUUGCUUUCGUGCUAAGGUGUCAGCGGUUUUACUUACCAUUCCUUUUGUAUCAUCCACUGAUGCUGCUGAGACAAAGACCACCCCUUGUGAAGCAAGGUCCUAUAUUGCCUUCUGGGAUCCAAGGGAGGCCAAAUGAGAACUCUGGAACACCCAUUCCUGAUUAAACCAGAACAGCUACUUACUUCGAUUUUAUCUGUACUAUUUAGUAGCAUUCCUCAAAAAGUUUUAUUUUCUGAUGGAAAAUAAAAAGUUUAUGACUCACUUCUA